AUUGAACGCUAGCGGGAUGCUUUACACAUGCAAGUCGAACGGCAGCGCGGACUUCGGUCUGGCGGCGAGUGGCGAACGGGUGAGUAAUGUAUCGGAACGUGCCCAGUAGCGGGGGAUAACUACGCGAAAGCGUAGCUAAUACCGCAUACGCCCUACGGGGGAAAGCAGGGGAUCGUAAGACCUUGCACUAUUUGAGCGGCCGAUAUCGGAUUUGCUAGUUGGUGUGGUAACGGCUCACUAAGGCGACGAUCCGUAGCUGGUUUGAGAGGACGACCGGCCACACUGGGACUGAGACACGGCCCAGACUCCUACGGGAGGCAGCAGUGGGGAAUUUUGGACAAUGGGGGCAACCCUGAUCCAGCCAUCCCGCGUGUGCGAUGAAGGCCUUCGGGUUGUAAAGCACUUUUGGCAGGAAAGAAACGUCGCGGGCUAAUACCCCGUGGAACUGACGGUACCUGCAGAAUAAGCACCGGCUAACUACGUG
This 484-nucleotide ribosomal RNA is filed under the name uncultured bacterium. Its description in RNAcentral is "partial 16S ribosomal RNA". It matches the Rfam family "Bacterial small subunit ribosomal RNA", at positions 30 to 507 of the family's 1533-position model. The record is from RNAcentral.